This 465-nucleotide ribosomal RNA is filed under the name uncultured bacterium. RNAcentral's name for it is "partial 16S ribosomal RNA". It matches the Rfam family "Bacterial small subunit ribosomal RNA", at positions 28 to 507 of the family's 1533-position model. The record is from RNAcentral.
GACGAACGCUGGCGGCGUGCUUAACACAUGCAAGUCGAACGGAAAGGCCCCUUUGGGGGUACCCGAGUGGCGAACGGGUGAGUAACACGUGGGUAACCUUCCCUUUACUUCGGGAUAACUUCAGGAAACUGGGGCUAAUAACGGAUAGGAAUCCUUGCUGCAUGGUGGGGGUUGGAAAGCUUCGGCGGUUUUGGAUGGACUCGCGGCCUAUCAGCUUGUUGGUGGGGUAGUGGCUUACCAAGGCUUUGACGGGUAGCCGGCCUGAGAGGGCGACCGGCCACAUUGGGACUGAGAUACGGCCCAGACUCCUACGGGAGGCAGCAGUGGGGAAUAUUGCACAAUGGGCGGAAGCCUGAUGCAGCAACGCCGCGGGCGGGAUGACGGCCUUCGGGUUGUAAACCGCUUUCAGCAGGGGCGAAGCUUGUGGUGACGGUACCUGCAGAAGAAGCACCGGCUAACUACGUG